GAUUCUUCCCAAUUCUACCGCCACCAUUCUGGUUCAAGCUACCUGAUGUCACCACCGUUCAAUGCAGAAAUGAUGGGCAAUCACCAAAGCUCAACUUACUAAAGCAAUUAUACUGGCUAACUUAUCCAGUAGAGACGGGGUUUCACCAUGUUAGCCAGGAUGGUCUCGAUCUUCUGACCUCGUGAUCCGUCCGCCUCAGCCUUCCAAAGUUCUGGGAUUACAGACGUGAGCCACCGCGCCCGGCCAAAAGAUCCAUAAACUUUGAGUCACCAGAUAGAGCUAACAUUUACCACAGAGGCAUGUAAAGAAAACGAUUCUAGCAGAGUAACUAUAAUACAAAAGAACAAUAUUCCAAUUAUGUUCCUAUGUUCUAUCCAGGAAGGUUUAAGAGGAGCCUUUUAAACUGAACUAUAUUCUAAGAGGUGGGAAAAAGUUUUCUUUUGUUUUUCUUAUUAACCGUACCUUGAAAGCCCCAAAUAAAUGUUCCUUGGUUUAGAUGCCCUGGUAGAUGACCAAAAAA
This 520-nucleotide long non-coding RNA is filed under the name Homo sapiens (human). RNAcentral's name for it is "ZNF451 regulatory antisense RNA 1". Lineage: Eukaryota; Metazoa; Chordata; Mammalia; Primates; Hominidae. The record is from RNAcentral.